This 10874-nucleotide long non-coding RNA is filed under the name Selaginella moellendorffii. Its description in RNAcentral is "long non-coding RNA (SMOE_LNC001209)". The record is from RNAcentral. Lineage: Eukaryota; Viridiplantae; Streptophyta; Lycopodiopsida; Selaginellales; Selaginellaceae.
GCUUUGGUCUCUUGUUUUGGUCACAAACGAUGGUAGCAUGUCCCUCUCUCUCUUGAAAACCUUUUUGAGGUUGCAAGCUUUUUUCUCGUUUGCAUGGUUGGCAGGAACAGUCUGAAAGUCUGAGGCCCCAGCUGAUUGAUUCAAGCACUAUAGGAAAAAGAUGAUACAGGAACAGAAUAUAUGAAAAUCGCAAUGAAAACAUAUGCCAUUUGGGUGGAACAUCACGAAACAUACGCAAGCAAACAAGUGGAUGUCCAACUCCACAAAAUAAUCACACAGAAUCCCACAAAAUCAUAGACUCCAUCACGUUUUUCUAAUCUACAUGCAUUUCUUAUAUUAAUUCAGUCAAAUUACCAAAAAGCUUAUUAAUCCUUCUCUCUAUUUGUUUUUCUGUUUCUUUUCCUUUUUUUUUUUCGUUUUUUUUUUCCUUGUGUGCCUCUAUUAGUUAUAAUAAAAUGAUGCAAGUUCCACCACCACGUCCAUCAAUCUCCCCUUUUUACCACCAUUCUUUCAUAUAGUAUACAUACACCGAGCCAAGCCUUCUCGAUGCCGCCGCCACCACCACCUAUCGGAUUAUAUACAAAACGUUGCCCGGAUUAUUUACUUCUGCGCACCAGAAGUCCCUUGUCUCCGCGGCAACCAGUGUGACUCUAGAAGAAAAUGUGAAGAAAAGAAGAACCCAAGGAAGAGAGCUGGGGGACAUGUCGUCGGAGAUCGCCAAGCGCGAGCAGCCCAGCCCCGAUCUAAAGCUGGCUGCUCGUUCGCCUCCGACGAGAGCUUGCCCCCAGUUUUGCCCACACCAAAAACGAUGGGCGUUUCUCCCUCUUCCUCCCGACUGUGAUCCAAGUGAUAGAUCCAAUCCUAUACCUGUUCAAACUCCUGCACACUACUUGUCUAGUAGUUCUCCUACAACCCCUGCCCGAGACCCCGAUUGUACACACCAGUCAAACCAUCCUCCUCCAAAGUAACCAUUUUCCUGUCCACCACCACCUCCUCCACCUUUGUUCUUCCUGUUCUUAAGUUACCCUCAGAAAUCCAAGUUGAGGAUCCUGCGCAGUCCUCGAGUGGCCGCCUCCGUGUCCAUGAUCCUGGCAAACUCGGCCUGCACCGCCAGCAUCUCCGGCUUCCUCAGCGAGAAGUUUGGAAUCGGGAGAGAGCUGGGCGGAGGCGAGUUUGUGAAGGCCGGCCCGGCCCACUUCUCGUCGAACAAUGGCGGAGGAUAAAAGGCCUCGCCAAAGUUCCGGGCAAACGGGCCACCACACCCAUCGCUUACGACGUUGUUGUUGUUGUUGUUGUUAGCAGCUCCGACUGGUUCUUCUAAAACUUUCGUUGUUCUCGUUGAUGAAUCUACAGUAGUAGUAGUAGUAGUAGUAGCAGCCACCUUGGUAGCCUUCUUCUCCUCCUCUUUCUCCUCCUCCUUCACUAAAACACCACCUCGUUGUUCUUCCUUCUUCGUCUCUAGAGCGGCGGCGGCGGCGACGAUUUGGGCCACCACCUUGACGACUUUGACGGACUUGGCAGUCCUAGCAGCACCGUCACGCUGCCUGUUCUUCGCGACAACUCCAGCACCCGCUUUCACCACCGGAUCAUCCGCCCUCUUGCUCGAACCCUUCACAGCGGCGUUCUCGGGAGCCGAAAGCCCGUUCUUUGCAUACACCUCCGACAGUGGGAGCCCGGUGAUCUUGGCCAGAUCGCGCAUUGCGGCUUCCUUGGACUGCGGGCGCUGCAAAAUCGUGAUUUUGGGUGGCGACUCCUCCUUCCUGGUGCCACCCUUGUCCUUCUUGACAAAACCCAUCUUUGAUUUGGGCUUCGGGGCGAUUCCAUUCUCCCCGACCUUGCUGCCCUUGGUUUUAUUGCUGCCGUUGCCUCCUUUGCCAGAAACCUUGGUAUUCCCUUUCGCGUUCUUGGAAGGGGAAGAUCUCCCCUUUGGAGGUUGAUUCUGGUUCUGGGACAAUCGGCCGCUGGCAGUGGACGGCCGCGCAUCCGCCGUCCGAGAGAGUGCAACGGGAGAAAGAGGGGAAAAAUCGGUCACGGAACUCGUUCGCUGGAUGGAUCUAGACGCUGGCGACGAGAGAUCUGCCUUGUGAUACCUGGGAGGAGUGGAGCGCGGGGAGAAGAGAUCCAUAACACUGCGCUUCUGCCAAUACUGGUGCUGUGAUAGCUGAUCUUGCGACGGCAGCACCAAUGUCUCCAUAAUCUCUAGCAAUUCUAUCAAGCGCCUUCCUUCCCUCAACUCUGAUGAUCAUGCCACUGGCAAACAAAAGAAUAAAAAACCUAGCCGCCAUAGCCAAAGGACGCCAUAGCCAAGUAACCGUGCCCGUCGCCAGCAUAUUCCGCUACGUUUGCCGACGCGUAAAGAUAUUCCACGCAUCGCCGGUCAAGCUCCAGCCGCGUGGCACCGCGCCUUUGAAAAAGUUUCGCCGACGGCGACCGACCACGUGUCGCACGGCGAUUGUGUGCACUGCUAAGUGUCGUUAGCUGGCGAUUACAUUAAUCUACAUCCGCGUUUAUACGUAAAUUUACAUUAAAUACACCACAUUUUAUAUCUCCAAGACUUGACACGCAACCAGCUCGACGCGGCCAAAGCUCUUGCUCGCGAUCACCGUCCACGAUUCCGCCUCGGAAUCCCCCGCGCCACGCCCGCCGUCGAUCUCCGCCCGCAGAAUGGUCACGUUGUUCCCGGCGUCCUUGGUCACCACAUGAAGGCCGCUCCUCAGGCACCCGAGCAAGUAUGGCGACUCCGACUCGGUGGAGAGAUCCAAGACCAUGGGCACCUUCCGCACCACCACCCUCCAGCAAUCCUGCUCGAAGUCAUACACCUUGAUCUUGCUGCCCUCGGCGGUGCUCAUCGGAUCCAGCGAGAACAAGCUCCCGUUCACCACCACGCUCAGCUUCAUCCCGGCCUGGCGAGCCGGCCACCCCUCGCCCAUCCCGCGCGGCAUCUCCUCCCACCUCCCGGACACCGGAUCAAACACCUCGCCACCAACGUCCACGAAGAAGGGCCACGAGUAAAGCGACUGCGGCACCCACAGCUUCCCCCGGAACGCCGCCAUCCCGGUGGCGAUGGGCUUGAGUAUGUCCGUCACGAACGCCGUGGGAAGAACUUGGGCGCCCACGAACGGCAUGCUGGGGAUCGCGCUCCAGGCGUCGGCCUCCGGAUCGUAAACCUCCGCCGACUGGAGUGGAGUGAGGCCAUUCCGGCCACGGUUCACGCCACCCACAGCGUACAAGUUGCCAUCCACCAGCCCCGUCUUGCAGUAAGCUCGCGCGGUCCCCAUGGCGGCGGCCUUGCUCCAGGAGUUUGUCCGCGGAUCGUACUUCCACACCGAGGACGUCGCCGAGGCCUUGGAGAAUCCCCCCAGGACGAACAGGCAGCCGUGGAGCUCCGCCGCCGAGCAGCCGAAGAAUGGGAUCCUCUCGGAGGAGUCCUUCUUCCCAAACAGCGACCUCACCAUCCCGGAGAUGGAAGAGCCGAGCUCCCACAAGCUCCAUCCGGCGAGAUCUCUUUCCUGCUGCUGCUGGCGAUGGUGCUGGUGAUGAUCCACGUCGGGCAUGGGCGGCAAUCUCCGCCACUGGGCCGUGAGUGGAUCAAGCGCAAACCACACCAAUUCCUCCUCCUUGUCUUUCAUGAGCACGUAGAGCCACUCCUCCACCACGCCCAGCUCGCGCCUCAGCCGGAAGAUCUCGCUCGAGCUCAUGACCUGCCGCCACGAGCUACACACGAGCUUCAUCGCCGGAUGCCGCGAGCGCGGCACCCGCGCCAGGGCGUGCAUCGCGACCUCGUCCGGAAGCCCUGGAAUCAACUGCCACUGGUGCUCCCCCGCGAUGCGCCUCUGGCGCUUCGAAGAGUCGCCGCUGCUGCCGAUCGAAGGAAUGGCCGCUGCAUUACCGGCGCCUCCAGGCCGGGAAUUCCCUCCCGGAUCCGCAGAGCUCCAAGAGGCGCCCAUGGAUUUCCUGCGCGAAAACCCUGCGCGCCGUGCCCGGCGAUGGAUCCAGGAAUGCCUAGAGGAGGAAUCCUUACAUGGCGCUCGCGGAUCGCUGGCCCUCGCUUAGGGUUUUUGGCCCGGGGAUUCGAACAAGCAAAUGCACAAAAUAUCCUCUGUUUUUAGGGUUCUUCUCAAAAUAUCCUCUGUUUUAGGGCUCUUGUGAAAUCCCCUGUUUCAAGAACUUUGAUCUUCUUCGUCGUCGCCUUGAUCUUCCUCGAUUUCUUCUUCACCAUCCUCGUCCUCCUCCUCCUCCUCCUCGCUUUCAUCGCUUUCUUCUUCUUCUUCCUCCAGCUGCGAUUUCACACCAUAGCUUUGAUUCAAGUAGUCGAUCCCCGAGCUCGUGAAGAGGAUCUUGUCCGCGCGAAGAACAUCGUAGAGAUUCAGGCUCCGCGGCGUCAGCAUCUUCACCGUCUUGAUGUUCCUGCUCGAUUUCUCCAGGAAAUCGUUCACAUUAGUCGCGAAGAUGAGCGAGUGCUUGCUCACGUCCACGCCCCAUCUCUCCAUCGCCGCCAGGAAGAACUUCGUCUUGGGCUCCGUAAAUUUCUCUUCGAAGUCCUCCACCGCGAUGGAAUCCACCGCCGCGCUCUGGAGAGCCGUGCUGAUCGCGAGCCUCUUCUCCUUCUUGUUGAUCUUGAUCCCCCAGUCCUUGGGCUUGGGCCCAAACACGAUCCCUCCGCCAGGCCGCAGUGGCGUUCGCUGCGAUCCCCGGCGCGCUCUUCCCGUCCCCUUCUGCUUGUAGGGCUUCCUCCCUCCUCCGCGAACCUCCGCCCUCGUCUUGGUCGACGCUGUGCCGCGCCGGCGAUUCUGGAGCUCCGUGAUCACGCCCCUGUGGACCAAUCCCCGGGCCGUGUGAGCGCUGGCGACCUUGAGAUCCAGGAACACCGAGCCCGUGCACUCGCCAUCGAAGGAGAAGAGGGGCAGCGUCGCUCCUCCCGACGAGGAAGCCGCCCUAAUCGUCGCGUUCCGCCGGGAUCGCUCCACAUUCUGUGGCGCUGGCGCUGGAAUGGCUGCUGGGCUCUGGAAGAACGAGGAUCUCACGCUCAAUCCCUCGUAGACGACGCACCUGGGAUUCCAUGCCGGGGAGAGCGUCGUCGCCAUAGCCAUUAGGGUUCUUGGCAGGGGAUAAGGCAAUCUGGACCGUUGGAAUUCAAACCAGAAUGCCGCUCUUCACCGUCCGAUCGCGGCGGGAAGAAUGGGAGAACGAUCCCUUCUCGACGAAGAACGAGCUCUCCUCGCAGCUACUGUCAGAUCCGCGGGGAAUUCCAAAAGCUUGGCUCGAGGAAGAGAGAUCCACUGCCAGAUCCUCGCCUCCCCGCACGCCCACAGCAGAUUUCUCAGCAAUCUCCUCAUCGAGAUGUAUGGGAAAUGCGGCAGCGUCGAGGACGCCGAGGCCGUCUACGAGCGAAUUCGCGAGCCCAAUCUCUUCACCAACAACAUCCUGAUCGCGUGCUACGCCAGGAACGGGCAAUUCCACCGCGCGGAGUCUCUCUUCGAUCGGAUGCCCCAGAAAGAUUCCGUGUCGUGGACAGCGAUGAUCACGGCCUAUUCCAACGCAGCAAAGAUCGACCUCGCGAAAAAUCUCUUUGAUCGCAUCCCAGUCCCCAGCCCAGAGUCAUGGAACGCCCUCGCCUCAGCAUAUACUCAAAAUGGGCAAUUUGAUAGAGCGCUCGAUCUUCUCAACAAAAUGCCCAAUAAAGAUUUAGUGUCAUGGAAUUCUAUCAUAACAGGUCUAGCCCAAAGCGGGCAGAUCGAACUCGCGAGAAAGGUGUUUGAUCAAAUGGAAAGAAAGAACAUUGUCUCCUGGAACACCAUAAUCACGGCAUAUGCCCAAAGUCGGGAUCAUUCUCAAGCCAAGAGCCUCUUUGAUCGAAUGCCAGAGAGGAAUUCCACAUCCUGGAACGUCCUCAUCACGUCAUACACAGAGAGGGGAGACCUCAAUCGUGCUAAAACUCUUUUCGAUUCAAUGCCCAAGAGCGAUGAUCUCACUGCCUGGAACUCAAUGCUCGCCGGCUAUGCCGCACGGGGCAAUCUCCAAGAAUCCAUCGCCCUAUUCCAGCGGAUGCCCGCGAAAGAUACCACCUCGUGGACCAAUCUUGUCCUUUCACACAUCAGUAGGGGUGAUCUCCGCGGCGCACAAACAACAUACCAGCAAAUGCCCCAAAAAUCCACACACUCAUCCACCACAAUCCUCACCGCUUUUGCCCAGCGCGGAGAUCUCACCUCCGCCGAAUACAUCUUCACCCACAUAACACCGCCGGACACGGCCGCCCGCAACGCGAUGCUCGCGGCAUAUUCGCUCAACGGUCACCUGGAAGAUGCCCGGCGAAUAUUCGACGCCAUGCCCGACCGGGACGCUAUCUCCUGGACCUCGCUCAUCUCCGCCUACGCGGCGCGCUCGGAGGCGCUGGUGCUCUUCGCGAGGAUGGAUCUGGAGGGCGCCGCGAUCGAUCGAGUCGCGCUCGUUGCCAUCGCCGACGCCUGCGCGGACCUCUCACGGGGGAGGAUGAUCCACUCGGAGAUCCGUGCCAUGGGCUUCCACCGCGACCGCCGGGUGGGCACCGCGCUGAUCACGAUGUACUCUCGGUCCGGCAGCUUGGAGGAGGCGGCGUUGAUCUUCGAGGAUUUGCCCGAGAGAGACGCCCAGUGCUGGAACUCGAUGAUGGCGGCGUAUGCCCAGCUCGGGCAUAUCAUCCAGGCCGUCCGUCUCGCCCAACUCAUGUGCCUCGACGGUGUGAGAUGGGACGGAGUGACGCUGCUGUGCCUCCUCUCGAGCUGCAGCCAUGGAGGAGCCUUCCAGAUCGGGUACGAGCUCUUCCGCUCGGCAAGCACGGAUUUUUCCGUCGCGAGGGGCGCGGAUCACUACGGCUGCAUGGUCGAUCUCCUGGGACGAGCCGGAUGGAUGGAGCAAGCCCAGGAGCUGCUGGACUCGAUGCCUUUCGUGCCAGAUCUCGCGGCCUGGACGAGCUUCAUAACUUCCGGAGUAACACAUCACGGCACCAAAGUUUCCAGAUCUGGCCAAGCCAUUGUUUCGCAAAGCUGAUCAUCGCUCAUCCUGCAAGAGCACACAAUCAUUAGUAAAGAGAGAGAAAGAAUGCUAAACUUCCAGAAACCACGCGUACCUGGAAAGUCUGCCAUUUCAUGAUCACCACCAUGCCUUUUAUGUCGAAGGCUCUCAUAACUGGUGUCCUGCCCCUGUCGCGCUGACGCUGCCGCUGCUGCUAUCCGACGGCUCCAGGAUUUCCAUCAAGUCGGCACAGUCGAUCGACACUAUCCAGUUCUCCUGCUUCACUUGCUUGAGCUUGUCCACAACCUCGCGCAUGCUCGGCCUGUCCCCGAGCGACGAGCUCGUACACAUGAGUGCCGCCUUGAGCACCAGCAGCAUCUCCAGCCUCUCCGUCCGGGACACCUUUUGGAGCAGCGGGUCGAUGAGAUCGUCCACGCUCGCCUUCUGGCUGAUCCUCAGCCGCACCCAGCUUACAAUGUCCACGCCGUCUGGAAAAGUUGGAUCCACAGGGAGCUUGCCAGUCACCAGCUCCAUGAGAACCACUCCAAAGCUGUAGAUGUCCGUCUUCUCCGACGCACGCAUUGUGUACGCGUACUCUGCAAGGAAACAGAAAGCCAUGAGAACACCGCUGGAUAGAUAGAGAACUUGCAAAUCUAAACAGCAAGGAGAAAAAACGGAAGAACAGGCAACAGGCAUAAUAGCACUUCGACACAAUGAAGAAACAUUACGGAAGUACGUACCUGGAGCGAUGUAACCAUAGGAUCCCGCGAAAACGGACAGUGUGUGAGAGCUGCUGCUGCUGUCAAUGAUCUUGGCCAGGCCAAAGUCGCCUAGGUGCGGCUCAUCCCGGGAGUCCAGCAAGACGUUGUUGGACUUGAUAUCACGAUGAACGAUCCGCGGAGCACAGUCGUGAUGCAAGUAAGCGAUCCCUUCGGCAAUACCAACGGCAAUCCGGUGUCUCGACUCCCAAUCUAAAACACCCGCAUUGUUCUUCUCGGUACAGGCCGACCCGUGUAACCGAUCAAACAAGCUUCCGUUGGGCAUGUAGUCGUAGACGAGCAAGUUGACGCCUUUGUGCGAACAGAAGCCGACGAGGCGGACGAGGUGCCUGUGCCGGAUCUUGCCCAGAGUCGAGACCUCGCGGAGAAAGCUCUUGUCCUGCGUCGGAUCUCCAUCUCCGGCGACGUCAACUUUCUUCACGGCCAGAACUUCGCCCGAUGGUAGAAUCGCCUUAUACACUGUUCCGAAUCCACCACUUCCGAUGAUGUUGAGAUCGCUGAGCGAGUCCGUGGCUUGCAUCAGAUCGCUGAAAGUGAGCUGCCUGCUGAGCAUCGGGAACAACCUGUGAUCCUUGUAGAACUUUGUGGAAGCAGCGAGACGAAUCCUGCCACGGUCUCGCUUGUAGAAGACGAGAAUAUAGAUGGCGGAUCCCAGAGUGACGAGAGCGACGAGCGAGCACACCAGCGACGCGAUUAGAACGAUCCGGUGUUUUUUUCGAUGAGGUGGCCUGCUUCCGCUGGAAGUCGUAGAGCCCGGAUCGCUGGACGAACCUUUGCAUGCUGGGAGGAGAAUGACUUUGCUCUUGCUGGAAGUGGACGAGGAUGACAAACUCUCGCUGCAAAGAUCCCUGUUGUUGGAGAAGGAACUCUGCGUCAUUCGAUCGAAGACCGGGCCGCUAGGAACAGGCCCCGAGAGGUUGUUGGACGAGAGGUUGAGCGACAAGAGGCUGAUCAUGUUGUUCGCCAGGGACUCCGGGAUCGUUCCAGAGAUCGCGUUGCUGGACAGAUUCAAGACCUCCAGCUUGGAGAGCAUGCCGAGCUCCGGAGGGAUGCUGCCGUUGAGCCGAUUGAAGCUAAGAUCCAGCGACGUUUGCAAGUUCUGGAGCUUUCCCAGCUCUCGCGGGAUCCCGCCCUGGAGACUGUUGCGGGAGAGGUUUACCUCGAGCAGCAAUCCACAGUUUCCAAUGGACGCUGGAAUCUGCCCCUCCAGAUCGUUCCCUUGGAGCUCCAAGAACUGGAGCGACUGGAGAAUCCCUAGCGCCGCCGGAAUCCUCCCGCUCAGCCUGUUCUCCGCGAGCUUGAGCGUCGAGAUUUUGGGGCAGCCGCUGAUGAUCGAGCCAGGGAUUUCGCCGAUGAGCUCGUUCUGGGACAGAUCAAGCUCCCCCAGCUGCUUGAGGCCGCCGAUCUCCUCUGGAAUCCUACCUUGGAGCCGAUUUCCAUUCAGCUUGAUGUGCGUGAGAUUCUUGCAGCUCGCGAGAAUCGAUGGAAUGGCCCCGGCCAAGCGAUUGAAGCUGAGAUCCACGAAAGAGAGAGCCGUGAUGUUCCCCAGCUCCGCCGGAAUCAAACCCUCGAUCUUGUUCCCGCCCAAACGAAGCCUCCACAGAGUUGAGGAUAUUCCCAGGCUAGGAGGGAUAUUCCCGCCAAUGCCAUUGUCCGUUAGAUCAAGAACCUGGAGCGCGCCCGACGAUCCAAGAAGUGGAGGGAUUUUCCCGCCGAGGAGAUUAUCGGAGAGAUUGAUCGUCGUGAGGUUGUGGCAGCAGCUGGCGAUGGAUUCCGGCACGGCACCAGUGAGAUUGUUCUGGUAGAGCAGCAGCAUCUCCAGAUCGGCCAUGGCGCUCGUUAGGUCUUGGGGAAUCGCCCCGGAGAGGCUGUUCUCCGCAAGAUCGAGCUUGCGCAUCUUGGCGCACCUCGCCAUAGGCGCCGGGAUCGAUCCAGACAGCCGAUUCCUUCGCAGAUGGAGAAACGUGAGCGCGCCAAGGCCGCCGAUCGAGCUAGGGAUGGCGCCGUCGAGGAGAUUCUCGGAGAGAUCCAGCAACGUCAGCUUGGAGCAGCUACCGAUCGAGGCUGGAAUAUUGCCGCUGAGCUUAUUGCGGUAGAGGUAGAGCUCAUCGAGCUGCUCGAGCGAGCCGAUCGAGGCCGGGAUGGAUCCGUUGAGCUGGUUCUCAUACAGCGCCAGCACUGCCAGGUUCUUGCAUGAUCCGAUCUCCUCCGGUAUCGACCCCGUCAGUGAAUUCGAUUGGAGCACCAGGUCCGUGAGCAUCGAUAAUCUCCCGAUCGACGCCGGGAUCGUCCCUGUGAGCCGAUUGCUCGAGAGAUCCAGCCGCUGCAAGCUCCUGCAUUCCCCGAUCUCUCCAGGAAUCUCGCCGCUGAGCCGGUUGGAUCCCAGGAAGAGCUGCUCCAGCCUCGCCAGGCCACCGAUCGAGGACGGGAUUUCUCCUGAUAGUUGAUUCAUCGAUAGCGCCAAGUUCUCCAGGCUAGCCAAGCUUCCAAUCCAGUCCGGGAUGGGCCCCGAGAUGGAAUUCUCGGAUAGAUCCAGCGUCUCCAGCGCCGCGAGCUUGGCCAGGGAGUCGGGCAGCUGGCCCGUGAGAUCGUUGCCCUGAAGAUUGAGGUAGACGAGCUGACGGCACUGCCCGACCUCCUCGGGGACGCUACCGGACAGCGAGUUAUUAAAUAUGGAGAGCGUUUGAAGAGCCGCGAGGUCCGAGAUGCCGCGCGGUAUGGGGCCGGUGAGGCGAUUUUCGGACAGCCCGAGGACGGUGAGCUGGCGGCACUGUGUGACCUCGGGCGGUAUACCGCCGGAGAGGUUGUUGUAAUGGAGCAUCAGCGACUCGAGGGCGACGAGCUGGCCGAUGCCGCGCGGUAUGCCGCCGGAGAGCUCGCAGUUGGCGAGGCCCAGGAUCUGGAGAGAGUGGAGGCCUGCGAUCGAGUCUGGGAUUGGGCCGGAGAAGAGAUUGUCGCCUGCGCGGAGGACUUGGAGCGUGGAGAGGCGGCCGAUCUCGCUGGGAAUGGAGCCCGAGAGCAAAUUGGAGUAGACGAGGAGCUCGGUCAGUAGCGUGGCGUUGGCGAUGGAAGCUGGGAGUGGUCCUGUGAGGCUGUUCUCGUUGA